GGGGGAACCCUGAUGCAGCCAUGCCGCGUGUGUGAAGAAGGCCUUCGGGUUGUAAAGCACUUUCAGUUGUGAGGAAAAGUUAGUAGUUAAUACCUGCUAGCCGUGACGUUAACAACAGAAGAAGCACCGGCUAACUCCGUGCCAGCAGCCGCGGUAAUACGGAGGGUGCGAGCGUUAAUCGGAAUUACUGGGCGUAAAGCGCACGCAGGCGGUUUGUUAAGCUAGAUGUGAAAGCCCCGGGCUCAACCUGGGACGGUCAUUUAGAACUGGCAGACUAGAGUCUUGGAGAGGGGAGUGGAAUUCCAGGUGUAGCGGUGAAAUGCGUAGAUAUCUGGAGGAACAUCAGUGGCGAAGGCGACUCCCUGGCCAAAGACUGACGCUCAUGUGCGAAAGUGUGGGUAGCGAACAGGAUUAGAUACCCUGGUAGUCCACACCGUAAACGCUGUCUACUAGCUGUUUGUGGCUUUAAGCCGUGAGUAGCGAAGCUAACGCGAUAAGUAGACCGCCUGGGGAGUACGGCCGCAAGGUUAAAACUCAAAUGAAUUGACGGGGGCCCGCACAAGCGGUGGAGCAUGUGGUUUAAUUCGAUGCAACGCGAAGAACCUUACCUACACUUGACAUGUUGAGAAGUUACUAGAGAUAGUUUUCGUGCCUUCGGGAACUCAAACACAGGUGCUGCAUGGCUGUCGUCAGCUCGUGUCGUGAGAUGUUGG
This 713-nucleotide ribosomal RNA is filed under the name Alteromonas sp. CJNY36. RNAcentral's name for it is "bacterial SSU rRNA". It matches the Rfam family "Bacterial small subunit ribosomal RNA", at positions 374 to 1078 of the family's 1533-position model. Lineage: Bacteria; Pseudomonadati; Pseudomonadota; Gammaproteobacteria; Alteromonadales; Alteromonadaceae. The record is from RNAcentral.